CAGCAGCCGCGGGAAUACGUAGGGUGCAAGCGUUAAUCGGAAUUACUGGGCGUAAAGCGUGCGCAGGCGGUUUGUUAAGACAGAUGUGAAAUCCCCGGGCUCAACCUGGGAACUGCAUUUGUGACUGGCAGGCUAGGGUAUGGCAGAGGGGGGUGGAAUUCCGCGUGUAGCAGUGAAAUGCGUAGAUAUGCGGAGGAACACCGAUGGCGAAGGCAGCCCCCUGGGCCAAUACUGACGCUCAUGCACGAAAGCGUGGGGAGCAAACAGGAUUAGAUACCCGUGUAGUCCCUGUCUCUUAUAA
This 301-nucleotide ribosomal RNA is filed under the name uncultured bacterium. RNAcentral's name for it is "partial 16S ribosomal RNA". It matches the Rfam family "Bacterial small subunit ribosomal RNA", at positions 509 to 809 of the family's 1533-position model. The record is from RNAcentral.